AUGCAAACAAAACAAUGGAUUAUUUACCAAGAGAUAUGGAUGUAUGAACUCAUUUCGAUAAAACACUUCUGGUCUACUCUAGAGUUUUUACCCUGCAGAAAACUGACGAGCAACCCAAACCACCAACAGACGAGGAAGAUGAUGCUUUUACAGAUGCUAAAUAUAAGCAGACUAUACAGAUGCUCAUCUCGGCCAAAACUCACUACAACACAACUACACUACAACACAAACACAGCAUCACAGUUCAUCACUUUACUUAGUACUUCACUCAGGAUGUAAAGACACACAGGAGUAACUGAUUAUUUCUUUUAACAUGCUACACAUUUCUUUUAAUAUUUCUAUGUUUUGUAGUAACCAAUAGAAGCUGAAGGAAUGGCAGACAUUACUCAGACACCUGUGAACACUGAGCAGUGGUUGGAGUCCAAAACAGUGAAAUCAUCUUUAUUAUACUUCUGACUGAACUAGCAUCGAGCAUUAGAGACAAUGAGAACGUAAGUUGAAGUAAAAUGUUUGCAUUGACCAUUUCACCGUGUUAUUUUUUGCAGUAACUGCAGGGAAUAUUAAUUGAAGAGACCUGAUCAGCAGCAAGCUUUGGAUCUACUGAAUGUGUAUUUUUCAAGCAUUUUAUUGCAGGGUUCACUGUUAUUUUUCUGCAUAGCGAUGACUGGUGAAAAGUGUUUAUUAAUUUACUUCAAUGUAUAGUUAACCAGAAUUCUGUCUUUUACGUUUCACCAAACCUCUGACUUUUGUUUUUCUGCAGAACUCAAAAGAAGAUACUUUGAUUGAUUUUCAUAUUUUGGGUGAACUCUCUUUAAUUAGCAUGCUACACACUAAAUAUUAAUCAUGCUGGGCACAGCCACUUAUUGUGCUGUCACUGCAGUUGGUGCUGUAAAUAGUCUGUCAAAUAACAGGUACAUUGCUACAACAUACAUUUAAUGUAGUUCACAAUGAUGCAUUACGUUAGACCUUUACUAAUAGAUACUUGUAUAUUAUUUGGUCUUUACAGGUGCAGAAAUAAAAGCUCCCAAUCAAAGAAGUCACCGGAUUAAGAUGUGGAAAGACAUGUUACACCACUGAAACCAUAAAUCCUGAGUAAUUUGAAUAUGGGAAACAACCGAGGAAAAGUACCCAUUGUUUUACUCAGAAAUGAUUCAUGGUGAUAGUAAUAGUAAAUGAUUAGAUAAAUAAAUAAAAAGUACAAAAUGGUUUUAAUUUUAAAACUCUGCCAUUUACUAAUGUGUUAUUCAAAACACUAAGUUUUGGUGUAUCUUUACAAUAAGGUAUCAUUACUUAAGAUUAGUAAAUGUGAAAUUAACAUUAAAUAACAAUGAGCAAUACAUUUGUUACAAUUUGCAUUAAUUUGUGAUACUGUUAAAAAGCAACAGCUGUUCUUUGUUAGUUCAUGUUAGUAGUAUUAUCAUAUCCUAAGUGUCAGAUUGGUGAUUUAUUACCCUGAUUUAUGGCCUGAGUUAUGGAGGGUCCAGCCAGCGUUGAUUGACAGGUUGUGAUAUGUCCAAUGUGUACAUGGUCAGAUUUAUGUGUUGAUUUAUCGCUAUAUGGCCUGUCUGUCACAGUGGUUGCCAUGUCACUGGGGUGCUGUCACCCUUGUUUGACAUGACAGAGGUGUGUGUAAAAUCAAAAGAUCAAAACAGAUCUCAGAUUUGACUUGUGUUGCAUUUAUUACUGGAUAUAUGAUGGUUGUAUCUGUAACCAGAGCUGUGGAGGUUUCUGUGGACUUCCUUCCUGAGCAGUUACUCACUUCCAGUCAGGAGGAGGUGUUUGGGUUCUUCCUGGAAUAAAAUGGCUGAGCAAAAGUGAGUGUAUUUACACCUUGACAAGAUCAAUGUUUGUUUGAUCUAUAUGGUAUAUGGUAUGUUGGUAUGGUAUGUUAAUACCAGUGUGGCUACCGACUGGUCUACAUCUAGCCCUAAGCAAGGAGGUUGUCUGGGCCUCUGGCUUCCGUGUUUGUGUUUUAGGUCAACACCUUUGGUGGAUUGGUUUCUAGACACCAGAACCCAAAGCUUCUCCCCUGUCUGUUUUCCUCCUGUGAUGUAGUCUGUGUCCGAUAUAAUGUUUUAGUAUGUUUGUUAAUGGGAAUGUGGUUUGUUUGGGGUUGGAGGAUAUCCAGACACGUGACCAUCGCAAACCUCUAAAUGGUUCAGUUCUGCUUGAUCUAUAGGCUCAAUAUUGAUAGCUAAGCCAUCACUGUUUUGAUUGUUUGCAACAAUACUGGAAUGCUCUGGCAAAAUGAAUGUACAACAUAUUUUCCAUGUCAAUAAAGCACCUGAAAACUGAAACAUAGAAUUAAAGAGCUCACCAAGAACAUUACCCAUCACACUUUUUAUAUGCUUCUGAAAAGGUGUUAUGUUUGAGCAUGUUCUUUCUACCUCAUCUGUAUGUGUGUAUGCUAACACCACUGUAGGAUCAGUACAACCUAAUCUGUAGGUUGAAUAGAUAAACUUAUGAGGAGUCUUAAGUUAAAAAUGAUUCAACAUCCUUGCUCACCGACUCUAUCCACCAAAUCCACCUCACCUAACAAUUUACUUCUGACUGUGAAGGUGUCUAACUGACAGUGGGUAAUAGUAUCUUCUACGUGCUUGUGUUAAUGGCUUUACAACAUCCACCUCAUAUUAUGCGCACAGAAUCAUGCUUUAGUUCAGUUCAUUUUAUUUAUAAAGCACAAUAAAAACAACAAUUGUUGACCAUGGUGCUGAACAAUAUUGUUAAAAGAA
Cyprinus carpio carpio is the source of this 2732-nucleotide long non-coding RNA. The record is from Ensembl. NCBI's taxonomy places the organism in Eukaryota, Metazoa, Chordata, Actinopteri, Cypriniformes, Cyprinidae.